RNAcentral lists this long non-coding RNA (216 nucleotides) under Lathyrus oleraceus (garden pea). Its description in RNAcentral is "Pisum sativum (pea) long non-coding RNA (PSAT_LNC029834)". Lineage: Eukaryota; Viridiplantae; Streptophyta; Magnoliopsida; Fabales; Fabaceae. The record is from RNAcentral.
UUUUCUCAUCACCUACACAUAACACACACACUUUUGAGGUCUUUAGGGUUGUAUCUUGACUUGGGUUAGGGUAUGGAUUCAAAAAGGGAAACAGGGGGAUUUUUGUUCAGAGUCGAUGUUUCAUCCUGUGUUGGUUUCUUUUAUUUCCUCAGUUUUCUUUUUUUUAUUUCUUUCUCACCGACUGCCCUUUUCGUGCUUCUUUCUAUUGAAUAUUCG